AGUGAACGCUGGCGGUAGGCCUAACACAUGCAAGUCGAACGGCAGCACCGUACGAGUUUGCUCUUACGGGUUGCGAAUCGCGGACGGGAGAGGAAUACAUCGGAACCUACUUUUUCGUGGAGGAUCACGUAGGGAAACUUACGCUCAUACCGCAUACGAUCUUCGGGUGAGAGCAGGGGAUAUUCGCACCUUGCGCGGUUGAAUGCGCGGCUGUCGAAUUAGCUAGUUGGCGGGGUACUGGCCAACCCAGUGGCCGAUCCGUAGCUGGUCUGAGAGGAUGGUCGGCCACCCUAGAGCGUAGACACGGUCCAUACGCCUGCGAGAGGCAGCAGUGGCGAAUGUUGGACAAUGGGCGCAAGCCUGAUCCAGUCAGACCGCGUGGGUGAAGGAGGCCUUCGGGUUGUAAAGCCCUUUUUUUGGGUAAGAAAAGCAGCAGGUUGAGACGCCGCUGUUCUGACGGUACCGAAAAAAUAAGCACCGGCUAACUACGUG
RNAcentral lists this ribosomal RNA (492 nucleotides) under uncultured bacterium. Its description in RNAcentral is "partial 16S ribosomal RNA". It matches the Rfam family "Bacterial small subunit ribosomal RNA", at positions 29 to 507 of the family's 1533-position model. The record is from RNAcentral.